This 494-nucleotide ribosomal RNA is filed under the name uncultured Bacillota bacterium. RNAcentral describes it as "bacterial SSU rRNA". It matches the Rfam family "Bacterial small subunit ribosomal RNA", at positions 355 to 866 of the family's 1533-position model. The record is from RNAcentral. Lineage: Bacteria; Bacillati; Bacillota.
UGGGGAAUAUUGCACAAUGGGCGAAAGCCUGAUGCAGCAACGCCGCGUGAGUGAAGAAGGCCUUCGGGUUGUAAAGCUCUGUCUUUUGGGACGAUAAUGACGGUACCAAAGGAGGAAGCCACGGCUAACUACGUGCCAGCAGCCGCGGUAAUACGUAGGUGGCAAGCGUUGUCCGGAUUUACUGGGCGUAAAGGAUGCGUAGGUGGAUAUUUAAGUGGGAUGUGAAAUACCCGGGCUCAACUUGGGUGCUGCAUUCCAAACUGGAUAUCUAGAGUGCAGGAGAGGAAAGUGGAAUUCCUAGUGUAGCAGUGAAAUGCGUAGAUAUUAGGAGGAACACCAGUGGCGAAGGCGGCUUUCUGGACUGUAACUGACACUGAGGCAUGAAAGCGUGGGGAGCAAACAGGAUUAGAUACCCUGGUAGUCCACGCCGUAAACGAUGGGUACUAGGUGUGGGAGUUGUCAUGACUUCCGUGCCGUCGUUAACACAGUAACCG